GCCCUGUGGAAAGAUGGGAGGGAAAAGGAGGGAGUGGGGGUGGGGUGGGGAAGUCGGGAAGAGGGGAGUGAAGAGGGGGAGAGAGAGAGAGAGAGAGAGAGAGAGAGAGAGAGAGAAAGAGAAAGUAGAGGGUGUCUGUAUGCUGCGUACAUGUGGUACAGGCAGUGAGAUCAGAGCGCUAACAGAGCAGGCUAUGUAAUUACAUGUUUCUAGUAAGUGUGUUAGCCCCACGGGGAGCUAAGCUUUCCAGUCCAUUUGGAGAAGAGAAGUAGAUUUUGGAAAGGUGACAGGGGUCAGUGCAGAACUGAGUUCCUACUGAGCUAGGAUAAGGGUAACCACUGAUCCCCAGUGAUUGCCUGGUGACAGUCUGAGUUGUCUAGAUACUUGGCUUUUUUUUUUUUUGAAAAGGGGCCACACCUUGCUACAGGAAAGAAGACACUGACCAGGUUGGAAGCGGUGUCUGUGGAUGUGCUGCAGAAGCACAGGGCCGGAGACUGCCUGCCUGACUUUGAUUCUGCUGGAAUAUUUGUGUAUGGGAAUAGAAGGCCAUGGCCGUACAGCUUGUUCCCGAUUCUGCUCUCAGCUUGUUGAUGGACUUUUGGAUGCAAGAACCCAUAUUGCUGAUAUUGCUCCAUGGGCACUGGCCCUGGGAAAAAGUGUGUACUUAAUUUCAGGGCUUGAAGCACCAGUGGAGUGUAUCAUUCUCCAUCUGGCCCAGCAGUCACUUAGUCCAGAUUUCUAAAAUCUCUAGGCAAUUUACGUCCAAAGACAUGAAAUGUACUCUCAAGCAACGAAAAUGAAAAUUCAGUGUGACUCAGUUGUGGUUAAGGGUAAGAAAGAAGAAGAAGAAGAGGAAGAGGAAGAGGAAGAAGAAGAAGACAACGACGAUGACGACUGGGGCCUCCCUUGCAUCCCAAAUGGAAAAUAAAAAAGUCAGGCCUUGAAUGUAACCCCUUAGC
Molecule: long non-coding RNA, 959 nt
Filed under: Phascolarctos cinereus (koala)
Lineage: Eukaryota; Metazoa; Chordata; Mammalia; Diprotodontia; Phascolarctidae
Description: lncRNA (ENSPCIG00000032782.1)
Source: RNAcentral